AAGUAGACCGCCUGGGGAGUACGGCCGCAAGGUUAAAACUCAAAUGAAUUGACGGGGGCCCGCACAAGCGGUGGAGCAUGUGGUUUAAUUCGAUGCAACGCGAAGAACCUUACCCGGCCUUGACAUCCUGAGAACUUUCUAGAGAUAGAUUGGUGCCUUCGGGAACUCAGUGGCAGGUGCUGCAUGGCUGUCGUCAGCUCGUGUCGUGAGAUGUUGGGUUAAGUCCCGUAACGAGCGCAACCCUUGUCCUUAGUUGCCAGCACUUCGGGUGGGAACUCUAAGGAGACUGCCGGUGACAAACCGGAGGAAGGUGGGGACGACGUCCAAGUCAUCAUGGCCCUUACGGCCUGGGCUACACACGUGC
This 364-nucleotide ribosomal RNA is filed under the name uncultured bacterium. RNAcentral's name for it is "bacterial SSU rRNA". It matches the Rfam family "Bacterial small subunit ribosomal RNA", at positions 862 to 1225 of the family's 1533-position model. The record is from RNAcentral.